RNAcentral lists this long non-coding RNA (8102 nucleotides) under Nicotiana benthamiana. Its description in RNAcentral is "long non-coding RNA (NBEN_LNC009866)". Lineage: Eukaryota; Viridiplantae; Streptophyta; Magnoliopsida; Solanales; Solanaceae. The record is from RNAcentral.
AAACUUGUCUCUCUCAUUCCACCCCCUUAGGAAACCCUAACACCGCUGCCUGUUUCUCCAUCGCCGUUAAUGGCGGCGGCCGAUCUCCGUUACCCAAAAUUACACCCCUGAAUCUCCUCUUCCCCCUCAUCUCAAUACCUUACUAUCUUCCCUCGAAUCUCAGUCCAACUCCUCGAAUCUUCUCCGCCGCCCACGGCGGUGCCACCAUCAAAUGUCCCCAAAUUUACACCCCAGGCUCCUCUCCUCAUCCUCUUUCCAUAUCUUGGUUUGUAUACCUUCAAAUACCAGUUGAGCUUCUCGAAUAUCAAAUUGAAGGUCUUCCCCAAAACCCUAAGUCUUCCAAAAAGCACCAAAAUCACACCCUAAGCUUUCCUUGACCUCCUCAUUCCGAAUUUCAAGCCAGAAUCCUUCAAAUCUAGACGGAAGGGUUUGAAGAUCUCCAGUAUGUGUAGGUUUUUUAAGUGUUCAAAACCCAAUGAGUUUCUUAUUUUCUUAUUGUUUUAUUUGAUUUAUUUUCCUUUCAUGCUUAUUUUUACUUCAUUAAGUAAUUUGAUUCUGUUUAGGCUUCAGUAAUCAAGUUUAUUCUUCUGCGUUCGUUUCAUGUUGUUUUGAGUUCUUUUAAUUAUUAAUAUGAAUUUGUUCUUAAUUUCAUCAUUAAUAUAGGUGUUAAUUCAUGUUCAGUAUUUUAGGUUUAGUUUAAUUGUUGGUUAUCUAAUUUAAGUUAGUAAGUGUUCUCCUUGUUAGUUUAAUUUUUUCUCAUGUUAAUUGUAUUUUAAUUUAUAAUUAGAUAAUAGUGUGAAUUAGGAUUGAUUUUCAAUUCUGUUUAGUAUUAAUUGGAUUCAAUGAUAGAAAAUUCAAGGGUAUCCAAAUAUAAUCUAGGUAUUCAGAAUUACAUAAGAUGUUGUAACUAAAGCUAGAACACUCUAGAACCUUCUAAAAUAGAGCCUUAGUCAUAAUUUUAGAAAACUUGAUGCAGUAACUUAGGCAACAAGUCAAAACUUUAGGACUAAUAAAUAAAAUCUAAAAAUAAAAGAGAGGAAAAAGUGUGAGUGCAAUCUAGAAGCUUCUUCCCCUCUGCUGCCUAUAAAAGGCAGCCUACCUGCCUUCCUUUCCAAGUUUUUCAGUAUCUAAAAUUUUUUCCCAAAAUUCGACAAGUCUCCACAAGCUGGAAUUUGAAUUUUAGAUCCAAAAACUAGAUAUGAAAUUCAAAAACUCUUUUAGUUCUUAAAUCUUCAGGAAAAAAACCAAAAAAUCAUAACAAAAAACUCCAAAAACACUGUUAUAUUGAAGUUUUUAGGGUUAAUUUCGGAUUUAGUUUUUUGAAUAGCAUCUUCUAGAUUGGAUAAGUAUACACUUCUGGUUGUUGAAGUUCAGAGGUUUUUCUGGGUUCAUUUCCAAAUUUUCUUGGUUUUAAUUGGUGUUCAAUUUUGGUUAUCUAUUGGUGUUAUUUGCUCGAGUCAAUUCCCUGUGUUUUGGAUUUGAUUUUGAUGUUUCCUGCUGAAGUUUUGCACUGCUAUAUGCUCGAUGCUGACUCUGUCUUCUCUUCUCGUUUGGUUGAAACUCCAGGUACCAAUCCUGAAUCCAUAGCGAUGUAUGUCUAAUUUGUGAGAUGUAGAGAAGCCUCGAAUUGAUUCCUUGCUGGUUUUUGUUUUCGUUAUUUCUGCCUUAUGUAUGCUUGUAGAUUAGGUUAAUUAGAAUGUGAAUAACUGAAUGUUAUAAGAAAUUAGGACUGUUUUAGACUGUGGACUGUUAAACUAACUUGAUAUCUUCUUGUGGACAUAUGAGUUUUAUAUUUAGUAAUGAUAGUUUGAAUUAGUUUGAAAUGUAGAGUUUGUGUUACUAUGAGUUAAUCACAGACUUAAAAGUCGGGGUUUAGCUUGAAUUCAAAAAUUAGUUAUGAUCUUAUUUUUAUUUAAAUGUCAGAAAUCAUUUGUUGAGUACAUGUGAUUCAUUAAAAUUAACUGCAGACGAUCCAUUCUCAUUUAGCAUCACUGACUAUUGAAUUUCAACUCUCAUUAUGUGGUCACGUUAAUUUUUAGUUAAAGUUCAUGAAUUAAUACUUUAAUGGGAAUGAGCGAACAAUAGGAAUUUGAAGUUUAAAACUAGUAUGCAGCAUGUUUGAAUUAGGUGUUAGAUUAUCUAAAUUGUACUGGAGAUGCUAAAUGUACUUAUGUAUUAAAUUCAGUACAACAAUACCCUAAAAUGCCAUCAAUUUCAAAUGCACAGUUAGACUUAUAAGAUUUUGCAAGUAUAGAGUUAAUUUACAAAUUGAUUGUCUCCUACACUGAAUGUUUAAGCUAGACUGUAAUAAUUCCUGGAUUCCAAAUAUUUUGGUACGCCCAGAUUUGACGUGGGUCACGUGUUGUUGGGCCAGGCGUAGGCCCAUAACGCGGUAUGACAUAUCCAAAAGACAAUGAGACCAUGUCUUUGGGCCUCUCAACCUCUUGUUCCAGGCCAGUGCUUAAAUGUCUUUAAUCAGAUCACAUGAAUAAGGAGGCCAAAUUUGUUGAAAAUCAUUCUUGGGUUGCCUCUAUUAAUUCUCAGUAAGUAACACCAGCUAAUUAGGCUCUUUUAGAGAUAACAUUUGAUAAGAAAAUCAUAUCCCUUUUAGGUUGGCCUUAAAAUAAAUGAGGUACGCUCGGACAAGUAAAAUUGACAAAUGUCUGGCCUUCUUUAAGUAUAUCUUUAAAAUUCUUAGAACGUGAGGUGUGCCAUUUAGCUAAUUUCAUGGCCCUCACAAAGUUAACAAUGUGUAGUUGCUUUAGGCGCAUUUAAUAAUUUACCUUCUUAAAACUUGGGUGUGCAUUUCAUGUGACCCAAAUCAAAUCCCAAAAUUUUGAAUAAAAUAUGUUCAGGAUUAUGGGUGCAUUUCAUGUGAAGCGAUCCAAAGACACGCUUUAAACGACGUUCAACUUUCUUAAAAAUUUGAAUAAAAGGGGUUAAAAGCUAAAAUUGGCACAUACGUUCAAAAUGUAUUAAACUAAGAUAACCAAGCUAGAUAUAACAAUUGAGCGACCGUUCUAGAACCACGGAACAUGGGAAUGCCUAACACCUUCUCCUGAGUUAAUAGAAUUCCUUAAUCGUAUUUCUGGUUCGCGAACUGUUAAAUAGAGUCAACUUUUCCUCGAUUCAAGAUUCAACCAGUGACUUGGGAAAUCAUAAAUCUCCCAAGUGGUGAUCUGAAUGUCUGAAUAAACAAAUUCCGUUUUGAUUGUCCUUUAAUUGGAAAAACUCCUUUACGCCCUUGCGGGUGUAGUGAAAAAGGAGGUGUGACAGCUCUGGCGACUCUGGUGGGGACACAAAUCCAAAACUUCAGUUCAGAGUUUAAUAAUUCGAGCUUAGUAUAAUUGUUAUAUUUGGAUUUAUCUGAUUUUCCUAUAUGUUCCAUGCUAUACGUGCUAAAUGUUUUACCGCUUUGAUAUUUGUUGAAUUGUAAAUAUAAACUAUUACGAAUCCCUUCCUCUCUUUGAGUCUUCUACAUCAUGGAGAAGGGUGCACUUCACUAGUUUCUCUUCUGUUUAUAGUCUUUUUCCAUUUAGAACGAGGUUAGGAUAAGUUGCUAAGCCGAUAGAGCUUCUGUUUCCUAGUACGCUACCCCCUCCCCUCGGCUCGAGUUGUCCGCUCGAGUAAGCCAGGUCUAACAAAGCCUCUUGCCGGAUACCUAGUAGGAAUGUUUGUUUGCAUCAUGUGCAUUUUUACUUAGGGGACUCAACACAGGGGUUGAGUCCGUCUAGGACAGGUAACCUAAAAUGAAAUACCAUCCUUAUGCAUCAUACGUGCUACUUGCACAUCUAUUUGCUCAGCUUUGCAUGUUGACCGGCUUGUGUAUAAUGAGAGAAAAUUAAGAAAAUUAGCAAGGGUAACCAUUUGUUUUGAAAAACCAAUGCCCAAAUAGUACCGAAAUGCUGUCGGAUUUUUUGAAAAAUGAAUAAAAAAGGAAAAUAUUUGAGAAAAGGAAAGGUUGUUGUUCAAAAACUAUAUAUUGAUUUUGGCAAAUUGCCCAAACUAUGUUUGUUUUAUUUUCACCGGAUGUGAGAUACGUAGGCAACCUUCACUGGAUCCAACCUCCCCUUUGCAAAAAUAGCCAAAAAAUGUCAAAAUUUUAAUUUUUGUCAUAAGUAAGUCGGGUGAUACCAUUCUUGUGUAAAAUAAGCCGAAUGUCCCCAAAAGGGCGUCAAAGGGCUAUUUUUGCAAGAACAGCCAGAGUCAUUUUUAAAUGAUUUGCAGGCAAAGCCUUAAAAUCUUCUUCCCAGAAGUGUUGUAAGAUCGUAUCUGCAAAAUUAAGUCCUUGUUUUCCUAAAUGAAGGAAAGUUUUGGAAAAAUAGCCAUUUUUCUCUUUUAGGACAAAAAAAAUCAUUAAAUCCCCUUUAAAUAAAUGUGCAUGAUAAAUACCACCAACAUUGAACCAUUCUCAGUCCUGAGUGAGAUCCCUUUGAAGCUCCACGUUUGGUGGAAUGAUAUGGGAAAAGGUAGCAGAGAAACCGCGGUUAAGAUUUUGGGUGGUCUCGUUGGAUCGUUUAACAUUAAACCAAGAACGGAUAUAAUUGAAGCACUGAUACCAUUUUGGGACCCAACUCGUAAUGUAUUCCGGUUCUCGAAUUUUGAACUUACACCUAUACUAAAGGAGAUUGUGAGAUAUGCAGGUGUAAACGGGAACCUCAGGAAUAGAUAUCUAUUGACAACGAGACUCGAUAACCGUCCACAGAUUCUUGGACCCGUUGAGCAUUUUUUGGGACAUUCAAGAUAAGCAUAUAUCAUAAAGGGUGUUGCACACUUCAGUUCUUAUACUACCGAUAUGGCAACCCGAAAGGUUUUGAGGAACCCAACACCAGUUUGACACAUGCUGGGAACAAAGAUAAAUGGGAGGCUCGGCGGGGAUUGACAUUCAUGGUAGCUUUUCUGGGAAUCGUGGUCUGUCCAAUAAAUGAUGGUCACAUAGAAAUGAGCCUAGUGGGAAUGUUGGAUUUCGCCGUGUAACGACUUGACCCAUCGUCCCAUGAGUCACCACCCCAUUUUCCCCGUUUUAUGUUCCAUUAUAUGUGUUUGGAGAGUUUGAAGUAAUUCGGAUGGAGUUUGGGUAGAAAUGAGACAAUUAUUCUCAUUAUGAGAAGGUAAGUUUGGAAAAGUCAACUCAAUGUUGACUUAUGAGUUAGAGGGUUCGGAAUGGAUUUCCGAUGAUUCGACUAGUUUGGGAUGGUGAUUUGUGACUUAGGAGCGAAAUCGGAACUGAAUUAGGAGGUCCAGUGUAGAAUUAGGCUUGAAUUGGCUAAGUUAGAAUUUUUGCGAAGUCCGGUUGAUAUGUGAGAUUUUGAUCCGAGGGUUGGAAUGAAAUUCCGAUAGUUGUAGUAGCUCCGUUAGAUGAUUUUUGAUAUGUUUGCAAAUUUUUAGAUCAUUUUGGAGGUGUUUAGGUUGGGUUUUGAAUCAAAUGCAAAUUUCGGAAGUCCUAGUUUAACUUUGGCUUGAAUCCGUGGUAAUUUGACGAUUUUGAUGUUUAUGAUAGUGUUUUUAUGCUACGAACAAGUUUGAAUGAAAUAAUAGGACGUAUCUGCUCUUUUGUUUGAGGUCCCGAGGGCCUCGGGGUCGUUUCGGAUGGUUGAACGGAGUUUUGCAUGAUUUUGGUGUUAUUGCUUCUAUUAUUUCCGCAUCUGCAGAAAAGGAGCCGCAUAGGCAGUUCCGCAGAUGCGGCAGAUGGACCACCUAAGCUGCCCGAGGGAGGGCCAGCAUGGACCGCUAGAGAAGUUUGGGCACCACACAAGCGGUUACCGUAGAAGCGGCAUUUUGACCGCAGAAGCGGUCCCGUGUGAUAUAAGUGAGACCUCAUAAGCGGUCAUGUGGCUGCAUAAGCGGUGACCGCAGGUGCGUUCAGUUGACCGCAUAAGCGAAAAUUGGCUUGGUUUUAGUGAACAGUGAUUCCAAAAUUUGAAAGAGAAGGGAGAAAAUAUUUGAACUCGGAGUUAGGCGAUUCUUGGGCGAUUUUGAAGAGGGUUUCGAGGGUUUCCUUCAGAUAAUGAUUCUUGGCCUCGGAUUAUGUCUAUAUGGUGUAAAAUAGUAUAUUAAACACUAAAAUUCAAGAUUUUCAAGGGUAAAAAUGGUAGUUAGGGCUUGAAACCUAAGAGAGAGUAAAGUGGUGAUUUGAGAGGUCAAACGGACCCCGAUUCUUGUAAAUUUUAUAUGCACGGACUCGUGGCGAGACAAGGAAUCCAAUGUGAUUUUUAGAAUUUUUUGAGAAGUGGGCCCGGGGCUCGAGUUUUACCAACUUUGUGAUAUUUAGUGUUUUUCGAAUAAUUUCAAUUGGGUUAUGUUUAUUUAGCCUAUAAUAACGUAUUCGUUGUGAUUUGACAAGAUUCGACGCGCGUAGGUGGAGAUUCAAAAGGAAAAGGCAUCGCGGACUAGUAUACGACCGGUUAGAGGUGAGUAGUUUGUAUAGAUGAUGGCCUGAGUGUUUGAAACCCCGGUUUAUCACAUCGUGACGCUAUGUUAGGGCGUGACUCGCACCCCAUGGCAGGUGCAGGAUUGUAAAGUGUUUUUCGAAUAAUUUCAAUUGGGUUAUGUUUAUUUAGCCUAUAAUAACGUAUUCGUUGUGAUUUGACAAGAUUCGACGCGCGUAGGUGGAGAUUCAAAAGGAAAAGGCAUCGCGGACUAGUAUACGACCGGUUAGAGGUGAGUAGUUUGUAUAGAUGAUGGCCUGAGUGUUUGAAACCCCGGUUUAUCACAUCGUGACGCUAUGUUAGGACAUUACCCGCACCCCAUGGCAGGUGUGAGGUGGUAUAUGAUUGGGGAUUGUGACUUAGUCCAUCCCGAGAGUUGAAUAUAAAUUAUUUCCGGCUGAUACGCACAUUGUGUUGUUGAUAAUUGGGCUUAAUGCCAUGUUCGGGGUCUUGCGCCAAUCUGUAGUACCCGUCUAGGGUGAAUAUCUGUGUGAUAACAUGAUUUGCAUAAUCAUUGAUCUCAGUCCUCUGCUUAAUCACUAUUAUUAAAUGUUAAGUCACUUUAUCCCUAAAAUUUAUUAAUUAAAUUACAUUCACCUUAAAAAUUGGAAAAAUGGGAAAUUAGAUUGAAUCUGUUAUGUGACUCAUAUGCAUACUGUGGACUGAGCAUGGGUCGGGCUGCACGCCACAGCAGUGAUAUAAUAAUCUUGCACUUGGGCUGAAGGAGCCCCUCCAGAGUCUGCAGACCCCCAGUGAGCAUUGUCGACGUUAAACGGAUCGGGCUGCACGCCGCAGCAUAUUCAUGUGCAUUGCAUUGCAUCUUUAUCUGAUACUUGGCUGUUAUAUUUGAUAUUGUUUUCUUGUUAGCUCGUAGCUAAGGUAUAUGACUGUUAGUUUUAGCUUUGUUUUGUGGCAUUUCGUGGAUUUCUUACCUUCAGACAUUAUAUAUGCUUAUUACUCACUGAGUCGGUAGUACGGGCAUUUAAUGGAUUUGUUAUCUUCAGGCAUUAUAUAUGCUUAUUACUCACUAAGUGGGUAGUACUCACCCCUACUCCCUGCACCUUGUGUGCAGAUUCAGGUACACCGGAGGCUAAGCUGACACUCGUAGUCUCCAGAUAUUUUCCAGAGUCAUUGAGAAGCUGCUUAAUGUUAGCAGGACCUGGCUGCUCUUCAGUCCCGUUCAUUAUUAAUAUAUACAUUUCCAGAUUUUUAUUUAUUUUCAUUUAGAUAUUAUUACCCAGGUUUGUUUAGAGGCUUUAGACUCGUGACCCCAUUACUUAUGGGUGUGUUUAUCGAUUUUCGUAUUUAUCCAUAUUACUCUAUUAAUAUUUUUGGAUUAUUAUAAGUAAAAUUACUGUAAUAUUCUUAAUUGUCGGUUUUUGAGACUUAGGGUUAAAUCUAAAGCGAUUGUUGGUUAGGCUUACCUAGCUUAAGGGUUGGGUGCCAUCACGACCGGGUUUGGGUCGUGACAAGUUGGUAUCAGAGCGUAGGUUACUAGGCCUCACGAGUAAUGAGCCGGUUUAGUAGAGUCUUGUUUAUGGGUGUGUCGUGCAUGACACUUAUAAGUAGGAGGCCACAGAACUUUUAGGAAACACCUCAUUUUCUUGAAAUUCAUAUCGUGCGGUUUGUUAACGUGAAAACUAAAUCUCUAUAUUCUAUUCUCAAAGAUGGCGA